Non-coding RNA from Sus scrofa (pig), 1748 nucleotides. NCBI's taxonomy places the organism in Eukaryota, Metazoa, Chordata, Mammalia, Artiodactyla, Suidae. The record is from RefSeq and is a predicted model, not a curated record.
CGCUGGGCAUGUGGCUGCCGGCGAGGAAAACAGGUCCAGAUGGAAGAACCCAGGAAGCCUGGUUUCCAGGCGCAGGGGCGGGGGCAGAGACAUCCCUCACGUUUCUGAACUCUCUGCCCCUGAACAACUAGGCCCGCUGCUGCAGAUCCACGCUGGCAGCCUCUUCUCAAGAUCUAUGCCCCCGAAUAUGCCAUCCUUAACAAACCCCGGGAAGAACUUCCACAAAGAUCAUCUGAGACAGGGACAGGGUCCCUUUCUCGGCCUGGACUCGGAGGAGCUCUGUGGUUCUGGCUCUGAGUCAGGUCAUAUCGUCCGGGCGUCCCCAGUGCCACCUCGCUACGCCCCGCCCCAGACUGGAAAAUCAGGCUCAUGCCUCUGCCCGAGUCAGUGCUUCCCCUGCUUCCCCUCACGAUCUCGCUUUCCCCUAAAGGGAGGUAUUUCCUCGAAGCUGGGAAAAGUCAAGGGGGCAGAGACCCGCCAGUUACCGGGAGGCAAGAGGUGGGAGGCGUGGAGGCGGACGCUGGGCAUGGGGCAUGGGGUGGGGGUGGGGCUCCCUGCCUUCCUGCCCAUCCCCCCACCCCAUUCAGCCCAGCAGUCCUGCUCUUCUAGCUCAAAAGAUGCAGGAGCGUGGUGUGUAUGUGUGUGUGUGUGUAUCACACACAUGCAUGGUUGGUUUAGGGGGUGACAGUAGGGUGGAGGAGGGGGGAUGUCAUGCUUCUGGUGCCUCUAUGAGUGACACAAGUUUUUUUCCACAUGUAUGUUCUUCACAUGGACCCUGUCCACAUGCCUCUCUCCAGCUCUUCCAGAAUCAAAAUUUGGUCCUGCAGAUCCUCGCUCUUGGCAGCCCGGGGGUCUUAAACAGAUUCCCUCCCUGGCCUCCCCAAAGGUUGGGGGCUUCAGGAAUCAGUGAGGAAGAAGGCAUGAAAAAUGACCCCAUGAGCCCCACGAACCCCACUCCUGGAUCCUGGAUGAGGGCAGGGCAGUUUGGGGAAACGGAACCCUGGCCGGGGGCGGGGGGCGACCUCAGCGUGUGCCCACCUGCCGCCUGGGGGCGGGGUGGGGAGAACGAGGGAGUGAAACAGGAAGAGAGAUGGAGAGACAGAGAAUGAAAGCCAGAGAGAGAAACUGAGAUGAUGGACAGUCAGAAAGAGAUCGAAGGGCAGAACCGGGCGGAGUGGGCACUGGGAGCUGAAGUGUGGCAGUGAGUUGGGGGCGCUGGCAGCAGGGGUCUUCGCUAGCAUCACCGAUGCACAAAAGCUCAGUGCUGAAAGGGUGCAAGUCUUUCAUCUCAAGAAGGGGACAUCAAGGCUUAGUGAUGGAAUCACUAAAAGGGAGAACCGAGCUCAGAAGAACCCACCCCCUUGCCUCCCAGACCUUUUUUUUUUUUUUAAGCCCAGAAGGGUUUCCAGAGCACCAGGCACUGGAGACCUUCAGGUCAGCCAGCACUUCCCACCUUCUCUGGGGUGGGGCUGGAGGCCGUAUUACAGCAGAAGACUGGAGAUGGAUGUGAAUUUGCAUGGCAAACGCACUUCUUCCUUUGAGCUGCUACAGGUCAAUAAAUAUAGCAAACCUUUCUAAAGGAUGCUCUUCCUCCAUUUUACAUACCAUCGUACUGAGAUGAGGGCAUGCAACCUCCUCCUUUGGUGCCAGCUACCAUGAUGCACAGAAAGGAGGCGGUAGAAAAAGGGGCAAGAGUAUUUCAACAUCCAGGAGAAAGAAAGAAAGCGUCCCUCUUAGCCAUCCCCCUU